CUCCUCUGUUCCCUACUCCUGUAGUGUGUGGUAGGUGGGGGAAGCCUCCUCUGUUCCCUACUCCUGUAGUGUGUGGUAGGUGGGGGAAGCCUCCUCUGUUCCCUACUCCUGUCGUGUGUGGUAGGUGUGGGAAGCCUCCUCUGUUCCCUACUCCUGUAGUGUCUGU
Long non-coding RNA from Oncorhynchus keta (chum salmon), 166 nucleotides. RefSeq lists it as uncharacterized. The transcript has 3 exons. Lineage: Eukaryota; Metazoa; Chordata; Actinopteri; Salmoniformes; Salmonidae. The record is from RefSeq and is a predicted model, not a curated record.